This 292-nucleotide ribosomal RNA is filed under the name uncultured bacterium. RNAcentral describes it as "partial 16S ribosomal RNA". It matches the Rfam family "Bacterial small subunit ribosomal RNA", at positions 505 to 796 of the family's 1533-position model. The record is from RNAcentral.
GUGCCAGCCGCCGCGGUAAUACGGAGGGUGCGAGCGUUGCUCGGAAUCACUGGGCGUAAAGCGUACGCAGGCUGUUGUACAAGUCGGGUGUGAAAGCCCGGGGCUCAACCCCGGAAUUGCGCCCGAGACUGUAUGACUUGAAUGCGGGAGAGGGAAGCGGAAUUCCUGGUGUAGAGGUGAAAUUCGUAGAUAUCAGGAGGAACACCAGUGGCGAAAGCGGCUUCCUGGCCCGACAUUGACGCUCAUGUACGAAAGCGCGGGGAGCAAACAGGAUUAGAUACCCCGGUAGUCC